GGAACGGAGGGCUCCAGAACGAGCAGGCGAACACCGGGUUUAAGAAAAGUUUAUACUCGGAGUGCUGCGCGCAAGAAGGUCCUGAAACCGGCGAUUUAAUUGCGGAAGAAAGUUCUCUCCAAAGGCCAGUUUUGAGACUGGACAGUGAUGAUGUCCAUGCAAAUGAACGAGGCAGAGGGCUCGGUGAAGGUGGCCGAGUGGCAGCAGACAUACUACGCCCACGACUCCGGCAUCCAAUCAGGCGCCACCACCGUGCGAGAUGACGAGGGCACAGAGUACAGCGCCAAGAAGUAUGCCGUCACCAACACGUUGGUGGAAAACCCUACAGAGGUGGAGGCCCAGUACACCCUGACGCGGGCCCAGCGAGUGAGAGCGGCCAUGUUCCCAGAGACCCUGGUGGAGGGCGAGGCGGUGCUGUCCACUCAGACUGACCCGGGUCAGCAGACCAACGUCCAGCGGCUAGCUGAGCCCUCGCAGCUCCUCAAGACCGCAAUCGUCCACCUCAUUAACUACCAGGAUGACGCCGAGCUGGCCACUCGCGCCGUGCCCGAGCUCACCAAGCUGUUGGCCGACGAUGAUGCGGUGGUGGUCAACAAGGCGGCCAUGAUCGUGAACCAGCUGACACGGAAAGAGGCGUCUCGACGGGUGCUGAUGCAGUCCCCCCAGAUGGUGGCGGCGGUGGUGCGGGCCAUGCAGAACACGGGAGACAUGGAGACAGCCCGUUGUGCUGCCAGCGUCCUCCACAGCCUGUCCCACCAGAGAGAGGGCCUGCUCGCCAUCUUCAAGUCCGGGGGCGUCCCUGCCCUGGUCCGCAUGCUCAGUUCUCCCAUGGAGUCAGUGCUGUUCUAUGCCAUCACGACCCUCCACAACCUGCUACUGCACCAGGAGGGAGCCAAGAUGGCGGUGCGCCUGGCCGACGGCCUGCAGAGGAUGGUGCCCCUGCUGAAAAAGAGCAACCCCAAGUUCCUGGCCAUCACCACUGACUGCCUGCAGCUGCUCUCCUAUGGAAACCAGGAGAGCAAGCUUAUCAUCCUAGCCAACGGGGGCCCUGAGGGGCUGGUCUUCAUCAUGAGGAACUAUAAUUAUGAGAAAUUGCUGUGGACCACCAGCCGUGUGCUCAAAGUUCUCUCAGUGUGCCCUAGCAACAAGCCCGCCAUAGUGGAAGCUGGGGGCAUGCAGGCCCUGGGACAGCACCUGACCGGCUCCAGCCAGCGCCUCACACAGAACUGCCUCUGGACCCUGAGGAACCUGUCUGAUGCUGCCACUAAACAGGAGGGUCUGGAUGGCCUGCUGCAGGUGUUAGUGGGACAGCUGGGUUCGGACGACGUCAACAUGCUGACGUGCGCCACGGGGAUCCUGUCCAACCUCACCUGCAACAACUCCCGCAACAAGGCCCUGGUCACGCAGUGCGGCGGCGUCGAGGCGCUCAUCCACGCCGUGCUGCGGGCAGGAGAAAAGGAGGAUGUGGCCGAGCCCGCCGUCUGCGCCCUGCGCCACCUGACGUCACGCCACCAGGACGCCGAGCUGGCCCAGAAUUCUGUGCGGCUGCAUUAUGGUAUUCCUGCCAUUGUCAAGCUGCUGGGGCAGCCCCACUACUGGCCUGUGGUGAAGGCCACGGUUGGUCUGAUCCGUAACCUGGCGCUGUGCCCAGUCAAUCAGGCCCCACUGAGGGAUGCUGGAGCCAUCCCCCGAUUGGUCAACCUGCUGCUGAAGGCUCACCAGGACACCCAGAGACACGCCUCCAGUUCUCAGCAGACGUACCAGGAUGGUGUUCGUAUGGAGGAGAUAGUGGAGGGCUGUACAGGAGCCCUGCACAUCCUGGCUAGAGACCCCGUCAACAGGGGAGAGAUCGCCAGCAUGCAGACCAUCCCACUCUUUGUACAGCUGUUGUACUCGUAUGUGGAGAAUGUGAAGCGUGUGUCUGCGGGGGUGCUGUGUGAGCUGGCCCUGGACAAGCAGUCUGCGGAGAUGAUCGACGCAGAGGGAGCCUCCGCCCCGCUCAUGGAGCUACUGCACUCCAACAACGAGGGCAUCGCCACCUAUGCAGCAGCCGUUCUCUUCCGUAUCUCGGAGGACAAGAGUUCUGACUACAGGAAGCGUGUGUCCGUGGAGCUCACCCACUCACUGUUCAAACACGACCCUGCGGCCUGGGAGAUGGCCCACAAUGCUGUACCCAUGCAAGCUGCAUACUUGGCGGAUGAGCUGGAUGGAGGCUACCCCCCCUAUGGCUACUCUGACCUGGGCAUGGGCGGGAUGCCACUAGAAGCAGAGAUGCAUGAGCAGUACAUGCCUGAGAGGGCCUACGAUCCCCGACAGGCCUACCCAGAGCCCCUUUAACACACAGGGCCAGGUCAGUGAUGUAGAUGCUACCCAGAGCCCCUUUAACACACAGGGCCAGGUCAGUGAUGUAGAUGCUACCCAGAGCCCCUUUAACACACAGGGCCAGGUCAGUGAUGUAGAUGCUACCCAGAGCCCCUUUAACACACAGGGCCAGGCACAAAAUGGAAAGGGUGAAAUUGGCGUGAACACCAUGGAGGGACAGCUGAACGAGGAUUUCACCACAAAGGGAAACUCCUAUUUCAUGGGGAGACAUUGGCCAAUCAGGGGCUGUUGUCAGAAAACACAAGAAAAAGAAAAGAAAAAAACAAUAACAAGAAUUUAGUGUUCCUCAAAAUGAAAAGUUGCUUUGUUACAGUUAAUGUGGAGGGAAAUUGAACUUUAACUUGUAGAUGCUGUGUUGGUUUUAGGCGUUUCCUUGCAUAUUUACAUUGCAGAUUAUUAUUAUUUUUCUUCAUGUGUAUAAUUUACAUGGCGGUAUGCAGAGCCACAUACAGUAGUCCUCAACAAUAACCAGUAACAUUGAGUUCAGACAAGAAGUCUUGUUCGCCACGUUAUGAGACCGGUGGCUAAUUGGAACAGCAGCGGUCCCUGUGCUGCCUAUAACUGUCUAUCCCCGCAGUCCAGUCCAUGAUCCAGACUGCUGCUGGGUCUGAGGUUCCGAGACACGCACGCUCUCCCCUGAAUGUGUGUACACAGCCACUCUCUCCCAGUCGAGUGGUCUCCCAGGCACACUAAACUACAACUUCAGCUGGUGCGGUUGGUUCACCUCUGUUCCUGUGGACCGGUCUUGCUCACCAACAGUUAUAGACACUCAACCGACACAGUAUACAUAUGCAUCGCGGACUAAUACAUUGUGCUUCAACAUAAAACGUGUGUAUGAUCCAAAACGUCAUGUCUGGCAGGCCCGCACCCUUUUACAGCUACUACAACUGACGUUUCCUCAAAGUAUGUACGUCGUUGUGGAGGAGGUGUUUUUUUAAUGUCUUGAUUUUUG
Molecule: RNA transcript, 3334 nt
Organism: Salvelinus namaycush (lake trout)
Lineage: Eukaryota; Metazoa; Chordata; Actinopteri; Salmoniformes; Salmonidae
Gene name: junction plakoglobin-like
Exons: 16
Source: RefSeq, a predicted model, not a curated record